Molecule: long non-coding RNA, 4477 nt
Filed under: Brassica napus (rape)
Lineage: Eukaryota; Viridiplantae; Streptophyta; Magnoliopsida; Brassicales; Brassicaceae
Description: long non-coding RNA (BNAP_LNC019881)
Source: RNAcentral
UUUGACUUAAGGGAGCGAUGCUUGUAUUUAAGGAAGGAAAGCUUGUAGACAUGUUUAGGAAUCCAGUGGAAGGUGUACUGAAAAUGCUAGGUUGGGUAUUUGUAUUUUGUCCAAACCCAGUCUGCGCAAAUGAGGGGCUUGAGCUAAACAGCGGAGCUGACUGACUGUUGUUAAAGUAUCCACUGCUAAAUGCUGGAGUUGACCCUUGUGCAGGAGUCGAACUAAACAGUGACGGAGAGGAGCCAGAUGAACUGAAGACUGACGAAGAGGCAAAUGAAGGAGUGCUUGAUGGACCAAAUGGCUGCGUUGUGGUUGCUGCAAAACCAGAGAGGAUGGUCCAAAACCGGGUGUGGUAUUUGAUGAAGUUCCAAACAAGGAUGGGGUAGUAGGUUGGCCAAAGGGAGACGAGAAAUUUGUGUUAGUUGCUGAAUGGAAUCAACCAUCAAUGUCUUGGCAAGAUCUUCGGACUAAAGAAUGUGAAAUAGACGUCCAAAGAUCUUCGGGCUAAUCAAAUGCCAGACACAUUUGCUGACCCGAAAAAGAAUGACUAAGUCAUAUAUAAACCAGCUUGUAAAGCACCAACGAAUUUGAUGUCCAAGAAGAGACACAAUCAAGUUGCUACAGAGUCUAGACAACGUAUGAAACGUUGUAGACCAAAUAGGUUCCAAAAGAUAAGAAUCCUCGGAAACAAAAGAAAGGUGCAGAGAAUGAUAAUCAAAAUCCAAAUCCGAGGUUACUAAGGAAACCAUCCNNNNNNNNNNNNNNNNNNNNNNNNNNNNNNNNNNNNNNNNNNNNNNNNNNNNNNNNNNNNNNNNNNNNNNNNNNAAAUUUAAUUUUCAUAUUUAUGUUUUUUUAUAGUCAUAUUUUUUUUUAUAAUUAUAUUUUUAUAAUUUUUAUAAUUAUUAUUAAUAAGAGAUUUUGAUAUUUAUAUUGAAUUUGUGAUGUUACAUAACUAUAAACUUGUGAAAUAUUAUUAGGUAACAAAUAUGAAUAAAAAAAUAAAUACAAAAAUAUAUUUGAAUUUUAGAUUUGUUGUCACAUACGUAUCCUUUAAAAAAGGAGGUAACUCCUUAUGUGAAUUGAUCUCCUUAUGUGAAUUGAUCUGCACGAAGAGAGAUAACUGAUUAUAUUAUUGAAAUAUAUUAGGUUAUUUUUUAAAUAGGCCACGCAGGAAAAAAUUAUUGGAUCAAUAAUUUAUCAAUUGGUCAUGAUUCUGAUUUAAUAGAAUAGAUGUGAAAUAUUAUUAGGUGACAAAUAUGAAUAAAAAAAUAAAUACAAAAAUAUAUUUGAAUUCUAGAUUUGUUGUCACAUACGUAUCCUUUAAAAGAGGAGGUAACUCCUUAUGUGAACUGAUCUCCUUAUGUGAAUUGAUCUGCACGAAGAGAGAUAACUGAUUAUAUUAUUGAAAUAUAUUAGGUUAUUUUUUAAAUAGGCCACGCAGGAAAAAAUUAUUGGACCAAUAAUUUAUCAAUUGGUCAUGAUUCUGAUUUAAUAGAAUAGAUCCGUUAAUCAAAUAAAACCAGAAAAAACUAAAAACCUGCUACCAACCCGCGAUCUGAUACUGGUUGAUCUGAUAAAACUCCAAAAAAUUAUAUUAAAUUUGUAGUAAAUAACAGUAUUAAUUUAUUUUUGUUAUUAAUAGCCUAUUAUAAAUUUAUAUUUCUAUUUAUUUUAGAUUUAAAAUUUAAUUUUAUAAUAAUAUUUAAAAUAUUUUUGAACACUCAAAAUCUUUAUACAUUUACACUGAACCGACAAAUCUUUAUAUAUUGAUAAAAUAAUUAUAAUGAAUUGGUUAGUAGUUCUAAACCAUGAACUGAUUUGUUUUUACACCAAAGAACCGAAAAAUAUUUACACAUUUAUUGAAAAUUCUAUUGGACCGAUUUCUAUUUUUUUGGUUUAGUAUAUUGAAAUGGUUACCUUUUAAAACCCAGCGUGUGAACUGGGUUUAAAUAUUUUUUGUUUAGUAUAUAUAAAAAAAAUAUGAAUAAGAGUGUAUCAAUCAAUGAAAGUGGCAUAUGUCGCAUCAAACAUUAAGAAUAUGAUUUAUUAGCGUUUGGUAUGUAAAUAUUAAUCAACCAUAUAAUAGUAUUUUAUCAUCACAUGCUCAAAUGCAUUGUAUAAGUUAUAAUAUAGAUAAAUAUGUGUUUUUUUUUUCUUUUUUCAUUUUGUGGGUCGGCGUAGGCCUGGGACGGAUCGGGUAUCCGAGCAAUUUUAAGAUAUCCGGAUCCGGAUCCUUAUCCGGUGGAUCCAUAAUUUUACUAUCCUUAUCCGGAUCCGUGGUUCGCGGAUAUCCGGGUGUCGGAUAUCCUUCUAAAAAUUAAAAUAUCCGGCGGAUAUCCGGAUCCGGAUUUAGAUCCUUAAAAUAAAUAAAAUAAUAAUAAUAAUAUAUAUAAAAUAUUAAAAAUAAUUUAAAAACAACGACGUUAGAUCUUUUCUACUCAUCAUCUUCAUCUCCAACCAUGUAAGAACUAAAAAUGUUCGACCUUAAACUUCCACUCCCCAUUCACAGAAUCAUAAGACACGAACUCAGCUCCUUGUUCUUCAGCUUUCCUCUUGAGCAUUUCCUUAUACUUCUCCACCCUCGGGCCUUCCUUCACUUGCUUCCCGCUCUUCUUGUCCAUGCAUUUUAUGUUGAGCAACGUUACUUCCGCUGGCUUGUUCAGUCCCUGACCAACAGGAGGUUUUUGGCUCUCGUCCAUGUACACAAGCACUUCCCUGUUGCUGAACUGAACCAACUUUUCCAAGUAGAGCUUACGCACAUCCGUCUCUCCUAGAAACUUAAUGCUUCCGUAACCGUGUCUACCGACAACAAAGUCCCUCACUCGUCCGGUAUAACCAGGAUUAGCCCUUUCCUUUGCAGCUAGUUCUUGGACCCGAGGCUCUGUGAAAUACUCAGCGUGAUGCAGCUUUGGCAGCAAUGACUCGAUCUCUGCUCUACUUGGUGAACUCUUUGAGCCGUUCUUGUCGCCUCCGUGAUUUUCAUGUGCCACGUUAAGUUUCGCACUGGCUUUUACCGGAGGAGCAUCACGAACUUCACCAUUAUUCUUAUCUGCGGAUAUUAUUAAUAAUCAAGUUAGACAAUGGUUUCCAAAAAAAGUACAAACAUGAAUCACUCUUUUGUUACAUACGCAUGUAUUGAAUACUUACUCUCGUUGUUGGCUCCAUUAGUAAUAACCCCAUUCGAUCUCUUACCUGAAAUUCACAUGUAAAAACGGUCAAGUGGGUCAUGUUAUAAGCAUUCUCGGAGUGUUCAAAAACAAAGGUAGCAUAGAUCUCUCACUUCUUUGCCAUUUAAAACUAGUCUCCAAGCAUGCAAUAAAUAAAGCCAAUGAAUGUAAAAAGCAAGCUUACCAUUCUCCUGCAGAGGGGUCGUCUCAUCCUUCAGCGGUGCUGCUGUUUCCUUUUUAAGUGAGCGUAUUAACAAAGCUCUCGGGUUUUCCCUUGGAGUGAGAAACGCAUCAGCCCUAGGUGUAUUGGAGUUCUCUUCAUCACUGAAGAAUGGAACCUGAAACAAACAUGUAGAAAGAACUUCAGUAACAAAAAAUAUAAAGAUUUACAGUUUAAUUCAAGACCAAGCCGAGAUUCAGAAAACAGUAAACAUACCUUUGGACUAUCAUCCCCAGCACGGUACUUUCUUGCAGGCAGCAUGACCCGUCUUUGCAAAAGAUGUCGAGAAGUCAGGAGUGGUGACACUCUGGCUGGUGCAGGUCUAUCAACGACCUGAGAAGAAACAAAAUAUAUGUGUUCGUAACAUGGAGUCUUUGCUAUAAGUUGGUUUGCUCGUGUUGAAGGAAAGCACAAUAAACUUACAGGCAAGCUGGAGAUUCCAUACUGAAUCGAAGGUGAAUUUCCACCUUGACCAAUUGAAAUCAGAGGGGCAGCAGGAAGCGUUCCAAAUGGGCUUGCAACAGGGUUUGGCUGCGUAGCAGUGAGGUUACUUGCAGGGUUUGGUUGCGAAGCAGGCCUGUCAAAACAAAGACGAGAAUGAACCGUAAAUAAAAUAAUCUAAAAGGAGAAACAAGAGUCGAGAGAAACUGAUGUACUUACACUUGCCCAAAGUUGACUGGACAAAAUGACAAUCCACCUGCAGCGGCUGUUUGGGUCUGACCAGAGUUGUUGAAACUAAAAGAUGGUUGAGUUGGCUGAGUUGAUUGCUGGAGUGUCGGACCAGAAGGCUACAACAAAUAAACCAACGUUAGAAAAGUGAAAGAGACGUUGAGCUAUAAAAAAAAAAAUAUAAGUUACCUUUGUUUGACUUAAGGGAGCGAUGCUUGUAUUUAAGGAAGGAAAGCUUGUAGACAUGUUUAGGAAUCCAGUGGAAGGUGUACUGAAAAUGCUAGGUUGGGUAUUUGUAUUUUGUCCAAACCCAGUCUGCGCAAAUGAGGGGCUUGAGCUAAACAGCGGAGCUGACUGACUGUUGUUAAAGUAUCCACUGCUAAAUGCUGGAGUUGACCCUUGUGCAGGAGUCGAACUAAAC